This 166-nucleotide ribosomal RNA is filed under the name Carex vaginata. RNAcentral's name for it is "5.8S ribosomal RNA". It matches the Rfam family "5.8S ribosomal RNA". Rfam says of the family: 5.8S ribosomal RNA (5.8S rRNA) is a component of the large subunit of the eukaryotic ribosome. Lineage: Eukaryota; Viridiplantae; Streptophyta; Magnoliopsida; Poales; Cyperaceae. The record is from RNAcentral.
AUUAUGACUCUCGGCAACGGAUAUCUCGGCUCUCGCAUCGAUGAAGAACGUAGCGAAAUGCGAUACGUGGUGUGAAUUGCAGAAUCCCGUGAACCAUCGAGUCUUUGAACGCAAGUUGCGCCCAAGGGACCCUCCCGAGGGCACGCCUGCCUCAUGGGCGUUAGAA